AUGCUGAUGUAAAAAUUUAGUUUGCUCUCGCUUCACAUACACAAACAUCAACAUGGGUCAAUUGCUGUCGUCAGAAGACGAGGCUUCUCAGGUGAAGGAUGCGGUGGGUUCGCUCCUCUACGAUGCCAUGAAGGAGGGCGGGGCUGUACCUGAGCUGGGCGUGGUCCACCCGUUCCUUCUGGCCAAUCACGAUGAGAGCUCCGACUCUCAGGCCCGCCUCAAAGAACACCUGCAGCAGCUGCAGGGCGACAUUGGGAACAGAGCACCCACGUACCUGAAGGAUCUGAUUAACCGGCUGACGACCUUCUCGGAUGAGCCCCGCUUAGCUGGACUAGUGGGAUUAGUGGUCACCAUGGUGAUUGAUAUGGCAUACACCUCAAAAUCGCGGGUGAAAGGAAAGACAUCAGGCUCAUCAUGUCAGCAGAGGAUGUGGGAGCUGCAGGAGGUGAUGGAGGAAUACCUGAAGCGCUGCAGGAUCAACCUGAGUGAUAAAAGUAAGCUGAUCCAGGACUGCGUCCGACUUGAGGCCCAGGUCAGCCUCACCCUUACUCAGCUGAAGACCUGUCUGCUCGUGGGAGACUGUGACUCCAGGUCUCUGAGGCACUGGGCCAGCGGAGCCUCGUUUCACACCCAGAUGCUGCUUCACCUGGCUGGUCUUGAGGGGCAGGUUGAGCCACUGGCUGCAAGAGCAGCACUGGAGCAAUACAAGGAAGACCUCACACAGAUCGUACCCGCGUACAGACGCUACAAGGCCAAUACAGUGAGCGUGGUGAAAUGUCGAGGGGGCCCCCUCGCACCCCCCUCCAGCGAGGUGCCGGAGAACGGGGCCAUGACGGGACUCACCGUGACGGACAGGGAGACUGGGAGGAGUGUGACCAUCCCUCUCUGUGUCCUGGAGACGGGGACAGGAAGAACACUAGGAGCGUCGGGGACUGACGACAGCCCCGUGUCGUCCUCCAUCAACCCAGACCUGAUCUCCUCGGAUCAGUACCUCCAGGCGUACCUCGACCAUCUGUUCUCCAGUCAGGGGCCCGUGGCAGAGCUGCAGAACUACUUUAAUAAGAGCAGUGACUACAUGAGAAGCCUAAUCGUUCCACCACAAGGCAAAAACAAGAGAGGGCUGAUAACUUCAGCAGAACAAAGCCAUAAAGACCCUUUGAAAGAUCAGGCAGAGGCAAUAUGUGGAGAACAAACAGUGGACAGAGCAAAAGGCGAUGAGCAGGGUGAGAUGGAAAAGAGGUUGGAGUCCAAUCGCAGGGAAGAAAGUUUGAAACUGAGUGUUGUGGAGACGCGGCCAGAGGAAACAAGCAGUCCUCACCAUGUGCCAAGAACGUGA
This 1336-nucleotide long non-coding RNA is filed under the name Betta splendens (Siamese fighting fish). Its description in RNAcentral is "lncRNA (ENSBSLG00000014195.1)". The record is from RNAcentral. Lineage: Eukaryota; Metazoa; Chordata; Actinopteri; Anabantiformes; Osphronemidae.